GUCUUGCUCUGUGCUCUGCUUCUUCUUCUUCUUCUUCUUAGUAAAACCCUCUGGUCUAUAGCCGAGGGUUUUUUGUCAAUUUGAAAUUUCACCCAAACAAAAGAAAGAGAGCAAAAGCAUUCAUACAAUGAUUCUACAGACGGGUUUUUUGGGUCCGUCGCUCAUAUCUUCAUGCUCUUCCUGUAGUAGGCUCAAUCCUCUUCUCUUCUCCGCACGACGUCGUCGCAUUAGCCUCCCUCGCUGGCGUUUCACGCGUCUGAGGACUCGACAAUUCGAUGUUGCUGCAUCAGAGAAUGAUGUGUUUACUUCACCGCAGAUAGCGAAGUCCUUUGAUUUUACUUCAGAGGAGCGAAUAUACAAUUGGUGGGAGUCCCAAGGGUUUUUUCGGCCUAACUUUGAGCGGGGAAGUGAUCCGUUUGUUAUUUCAAUGCCACCUCCUAAUGUUACUGGCUCUCUGCACAUGGGGCAUGCAAUGUUCGUGACUCUUGAGGAUAUUAUGGUUAGAUAUCAUCGUAUGAAGGGAAGACCAACACUUUGGCUUCCUGGGACUGACCAUGCUGGUAUUGCAACUCAGCUGGUCGUUGAAAGAAUGCUUGCAUCAGAAGGGAUAAAAAGGACUGAGCUGAGUAGGGAAGAGUUCACAGAGAGAGUUUGGGAGUGGAAAGAAAAGUAUGGUGGAACAAUCACAAACCAGAUUAAAAGACUUGGUGCUUCUUGUGAUUGGACUAGAGAGCACUUCACCCUUGAUGAACAGCUAAGUCGAGCUGUAAUAGAGGCCUUCAUCAGACUUCAUGAAAAAGGCUUAAUUUAUCAAGGGUCUUACAUGGUGAACUGGUCUCCUAGUCUACAGACUGCUGUUUCUGACUUGGAAGUAGAAUAUCAUGAAGAAUCAGGUACUCUCUAUCAUAUAAAGUAUCGUGUUGCUGGACUCUCAAGUGGUGACUUUUUGACAAUUGCCACAACACGCCCAGAGACUUUGUUUGGUGAUGUAGCUAUUGCGGUGCAUCCUGAGGAUGAUAGGUAUUCUAAAUAUGUUGGUGGAAUGGCUAUUGUACCUUUGACAUAUGGCCGUCAUGUCCCUAUAAUUGCUGAUAAGCACGUCGAUAAAGACUUUGGGACUGGUGUCUUGAAGAUAAGUCCUGGACAUGAUCAUAAUGAUUACUUCCUAGCUAGAAAGCUUGGUCUGCCGAUACUUAAUGUGAUGAACAAGGAUGGGACACUUAAUGAUGUUGCUGGACUGUACAGUGGCCUUGAUCGGUUUGAGGCUCGAAAGAAACUAUGGGCAGAUCUGGAGGAGACAGGUUUAGCUGUGAAAAAGGAGCCGCACACUUUACGGGUACCCAGAUCUCAACGUGGGGGAGAAGUAAUAGAGCCUCUAGUAAGCAAGCAAUGGUUUGUGACUAUGGAGCCCUUAGCUGAGAAGGCCCUUCAAGCUGUAGAAAAAGGAGAUUUGAAAAUCAUUCCUGAUAGAUUUGAGAAGAUUUAUAAUCAUUGGCUAUCAAAUAUUAAGGACUGGUGCAUAAGCCGACAACUAUGGUGGGGACACCGAAUACCAGUCUGGUACAUCGAGGGGAAGGACUGUGAAGAAGAAUACAUAGUUGCAAGAAGUGCUGAUGAAGCUCUUGAGAAAGCUCAACAGAAGUAUGGAAAGGGCAUAAAAAUAUAUCAGGAUCCUGAUGUACUUGACACUUGGUUUUCAAGUGCACUAUGGCCUUUCAGUACUCUCGGGUGGCCAAAUGUAUCAGCAGAAGAUUUUAAGCUGUUUUAUCCUACGACAAUGCUUGAAACUGGGCAUGACAUAUUGUUUUUCUGGGUGGCAAGAAUGGUCAUGAUGGGAAUUGAGUUCACAGGCAAACUUCCAUUUCAAUAUAUUUAUCUACAUGGUCUUAUCCGAGAUUCACAAGGCCGGAAAAUGUCUAAAACAUUGGGGAAUGUAAUAGAUCCGUUGGAUACAAUCAAGGAAUUUGGCACCGAUGCUUUACGAUUCACGCUUUCUUUAGGAACUGCUGGUCAGGAUCUUAAUUUAUCUACUGAGAGAUUGACCUCUAACAAGGCAUUCACCAACAAACUAUGGAAUGCUGGGAAGUUUGUAUUACAAAAUUUGCCUAGUCAGAGCGAUGCAUCUGCUUGGGAGAAUAUACUUUCAUAUGAGUUUGACAAAGAGGAGUCUCUACAUAGGUUACCUUUAUCAGAAUGUUGGGUGAUCUCAAAACUUCAUAUGCUUAUUGACACAGUCACUGCAAGCUAUGACAAGUUUUUCUUUGGAGAUGUAGGAAGAGAGACAUAUGAUUUCUUUUGGGGUGAUUUUGCUGAUUGGUAUAUUGAGGCUAGUAAAGCUCGGCUUUAUCAAUCUGGAGGACAUUCAGAAGCCUCUGUAGCACAGACAGUUCUACUAUAUGUAUUCGAGAACAUACUUAAAUUAUUGCAUCCCUUCAUGCCAUUCGUAACUGAGGAGCUGUGGCAGGCACUUCCCAAUCGACAAGAAGCUCUUAUGGUAUCUCCUUGGCCACAGACUUCACUUCCAAGGUUAAGCAACUCGAUAAAGAAGUUUGAAAAUCUACAAGCAUUGACUAGAGCAAUCCGGAAUGCUCGAGCAGAAUAUUCAGUUGAACCAGCAAAGCGUAUAUCGGCAUCUAUAGUUGCUAAUGAAGAAGUCAUCCAAUAUAUAUUGGAAGAGAAAGAGGUUUUGUCACUUCUCUCUCGGCUAGAUUUACAAAAUGUCCAUUUUACGAAUUCACCUCCAGGGAAUGCUGAACAAUCAGUCCACCUUGUGGCUGGUGAUGGACUAGAGGCCUAUCUCCCUCUUGCGGAUAUGGUUGAUAUCACUGCAGAGAUUGAACGUCUUUCAAAGCGACUUUCAAAAAUGCUGACAGAAUAUCAUGGACUAACUGCUCGCCUUAGUUCUCCUAAAUUUGUAGAGAAAGCUCCUGAAGAUAUUGUGCGUGGGGUCCGAGAAAAGGCAGCAGAAACAGAAGAAAAAAUUACUCUGACAGAAAAUCGCUUAGCUAUGCUUAAAUCAUCAGUCCUGGUUUCAGAAUAGGUUCUACAUAUCAUUCAAUGACAUUUUUUCAAACAAUGGUUUCUCUUUUGCCUUCCAUUUUUGUGCAUAUAUUUCAGUCCCAGAUCAGUAUUUUAUCUUUGUAUACGAGAGGAAAUUUAAUGUUCUGUAUUUGGAGGACCGAUGGUGACGUUAUUUGGCACCUUCUACUUAUUCCCGGCCAGAGAAUGGGACUAUGAAGUAAACUCAAGUUUUCUACCAUGAAUUCUGCACGUACAGAAGCUGUGUCGAUGGGAUGAAAUCAACAGGUCGAAGAGUUUGUGCUAUAUGAUUAAAGAAUUAAUAAUCCAUGAGACAAUAUAUUUCAAUUUUUAAUGGUCCCAGUUUUAUUAUUUUUCUGAACAUAUUUCUACAUUGUCAUGUCACUCAAAAGAGGAAGGUUUCUGCCAGUUCAGUUCAGGAAUAGCUGGGAUUCUAAGUAGUAGUGCGGCCAAUAUAUAUAAAAGGAAGCCUAAAAAAUAAUGUAUUUAUAUACAUACACCAAAAACAAAAACAAAAGUGAAUUGUUGUAACUUGGUCACUUAUUUUAGUGCAUAAUAAACAUAUAAUUAAAGAGCUUGCUCAAAAGAAAACCUACUACAGAGAUAAUCAUGCUGUCCGAUAAGAUCAACACAAGAUAACUUGAGAUAAUUUACCAAAAUGACUCAUAGUAAGUUGAGUUAUUACGGGUCAGAUAAGCUAGAAUUCAAUUGUUAUUAAAAAGUCCAAAUUUAAGAAAAGCAUUUAAUUGGAAAAAAAAUAAAAACAUAGAAACAUAGGUUAGAAUAUAGGCGGGAAAAGUAAAGAAAAUUAAGACAAUGAGUUUAAUCAAUUAAAGCUAUUGGAUUAUAUAUCAUAUCAAAUACAUUUAAUAGAUCGAUUUUAAAUUUUAUAUACCGUAAAAUUAUAUAUCACAUCAAAUACAUUUAAUUCAACAAUUUUAUAUAAUUGAGUCUGCUUAUCCUCAAUUAUUCUCAUCUUAGAGCCCAGUCAUUAUUGGAGGGAAAGCCAUAGAAAGUUGAAAAAGUUAAAACCUCAAUUGCUAAUUGCCAAUUGUCAAACCUCUAAUUUCCCAGUUCCCAAAAUGAGUACCAUGAAAUUUUGCCGCGAAUGGUCUGUGUAUACGUUUAUUGCAUUAAUAUUUUCGUUCUUGUGUUUUCAAUUUUUUUAUAUUUUAAAAAUCUGUUAUAAUGGUUUUGGAAAUCGACAUAUGAAUGAAUUAAUAAAUUUGUAAAUUUGCAGUAACAACAUUCUGUAUCCCAAGGAGGACAAGGAACGUAAGAUUCUCCUCUAUGCUUGCCGCAACUGCGACCACCA
RNA transcript from Ziziphus jujuba (common jujube), 4354 nucleotides. It is a transcript of the gene named valine--tRNA ligase, chloroplastic/mitochondrial 2, with no coding region annotated. The record is from RefSeq and is a predicted model, not a curated record. The transcript is spliced from 28 exons. NCBI's taxonomy places the organism in Eukaryota, Viridiplantae, Streptophyta, Magnoliopsida, Rosales, Rhamnaceae.